AUAGCGUAUAUUUAAGUUGUUGCCGUUAAAAAGCUCGUAGUUGGAUUUCGGGCGGGCCCGGCCGGUCCGCCUCACGGUGUGCACUGACCGGGCCCGUCCUGCUGCCGGGGACGGGCUCCUGGGCUUCACUGUCCGGGACUCGGAGUCGGCGAGGUUACUUUGAGUAAAUUAGAGUGUUCAAAGCAGGCAUCCGCCUUGAAUACGUUAGCAUGGAAUAACACGAUAGGACUCUGGCCUAUCUUGUUGGUCUGUGGGACCGGAGUAAUGAUUAAGAGGGACAGUCGGGGGCAUUCGUAUUUCAUUGUCAGAGGUGAAAUUCUUGGAUUUAUGAAAGACGAACUACUG
RNAcentral lists this ribosomal RNA (345 nucleotides) under uncultured eukaryote. RNAcentral describes it as "SSU rRNA". It matches the Rfam family "Eukaryotic small subunit ribosomal RNA", at positions 594 to 945 of the family's 1831-position model. The record is from RNAcentral.